AAAAAGACAAAUCCUGAUUUCCGUGUCCAACGUUUGACCGUCCGUCUUAUUUAAAAAAAUUAUGAAAAAAAAAUAAAAAGACAAGUCACGCAUAAAAUAUUAAUCAUGUUUUAUCAUCUAACAAUAAUGAAAAUACGAAUUAUAAAAAAAUUUCAUAUAAGACGAACAGUCAAAAUUAGACACGAAAAUUCAGAAUUUGCUUUUUU
Molecule: microRNA precursor, 206 nt
Organism: Oryza sativa Indica Group (long-grained rice)
Lineage: Eukaryota; Viridiplantae; Streptophyta; Magnoliopsida; Poales; Poaceae
Rfam family: MIR812 microRNA precursor family
Source: Rfam